RNAcentral lists this long non-coding RNA (467 nucleotides) under Gossypium barbadense (sea-island cotton). RNAcentral's name for it is "long non-coding RNA (GBAR_LNC011347)". The record is from RNAcentral. Lineage: Eukaryota; Viridiplantae; Streptophyta; Magnoliopsida; Malvales; Malvaceae.
CCGGUUAUAGUAACUCGCACAAAUGCCUUCGGGACUUAGCCCGGUUAUAGUAACUCGCACAAAUGCCUUCGGGCUUAGCCUGGAAUUAGUCACUAGCACAAAUGCCUUCGGGACUUAGCCCGGUUAUCAUCCGAAUAUCCAUGCACAUAUCAAUAAAUCAUGACACAUCUAUAUUUCAUUUUCAUAACUAGAAUUCAAACACAAGUCACUUAUCAAGCAUUAUCAUUUUCGGCUCAAUAGUUACAUACAAAGAGCAUGAUUUUGAUUUACUUAAAACAUGAUCUAAUCGAAUCAUAAUCUAAGAUCCAUUACUCAAAAACUUACCUCGGAUGUUGUCGAACGAUUUCAGCGGCUAUUCGAUCACUUUUUCCUUUCCCUUAUCCAACUUUGGUCCUCUAAGCUCUUGAGCUAAUUCAAACAAAUUUAACUUAUUAAAGUCUCAUUAUGCUAGCUUAUGGCCGAAUAUG